RNAcentral lists this ribosomal RNA (793 nucleotides) under uncultured archaeon. RNAcentral describes it as "bacterial SSU rRNA". It matches the Rfam family "Archaeal small subunit ribosomal RNA", at positions 85 to 876 of the family's 1478-position model. The record is from RNAcentral.
ACUGCUCAGUAACACGUGGAUAACCUGCCCUUGGGACCGGGAUAACCCCGGGAAACUGGGGAUAAUACCGGAUAACGCAUAUCUGCUGGAAUGCUUUAUGCGUAAAAUGGAUUUGUCUGCCCAAGGAUGGGUCUGCGGCCUAUCAGGUAGUAGUGGGUGUAAUGUACCUACUAGCCUACGACGGGUACGGGUUGUGAGAGCAAGAGCCCGGAGAUGGAUUCUGAGACAUGAAUCCAGGCCCUACGGGGCGCAGCAGGCGCGAAAACUUUACAAUGCGGGAAACCGUGAUAAGGGGACACCGAGUGCCAGCAUCAUAUGUUGGCUGUCCAGAUGUGUAAAAUACAUCUGUUAGCAAGGGCCGGGCAAGACCGGUGCCAGCCGCCGCGGUAACACCGGCGGCCCGAGUGGUGAUCGUGAUUAUUGGGUCUAAAGGGUCCGUAGCCGGUUUGGUCAGUCCUCCGGGAAAUCUGACGGCUCAACCGUUAGGCUUUCGGUGGAUACUGCCAGACUUGGAACCGGGAGAGGUAAGAGGUACUACAGGGGUAGGAGUGAAAUCUUGUAAUCCCUGUGAGACCACCUGUGGCGAAGGCGUCUUACCAGAACGGGUUCGACGGUGAGGGACGAAAGCUGGGGGCACGAACCGGAUUAGAUACCCGGGUAGUCCCAGCCGUAAACGAUGCUCGCUAGGUGUCAGGCAUGGCGCGACCGUGUCUGGUGCCGCAGGGAAGCCGUGAAGCGAGCCACCUGAGAAGUACGGCCGCAAGGCUGAAACUUAAAGGAAUUGGCGGGGGAG